UUGACAGUGCCAUCAACCAAAGAUAAAAAAAAUCCAAGUCCUAAGGUCUAUGAUGAAAGUCUUCCGUUUCCAUGGCGGCCAAUUUGUAAACAAUGAGAGACGUGCUCUCAAUAAAUUUUAACCCCACAGUCUGUAAAACUUAAUAAAAAUGAGUUUUAACAUUGACGAUCCUCUGGCUGGAAUUCUAAGUGAUGGUAGUGAUGACAGUUUUUUCGAUGACGAUGUAUCAGGAAAAAAGAAACCUGUUAAGAAAAAGACCACGCCAACUGUAGAAAAGAAAAGCGCCCUGUUUGAUUUGAGGGAUGCUGAUCCUAAACCCACUGCCAACACUGAAGAUAAGAAGGAUUCGUUGUUCGACAUUGAUUCAAAAAAGUCCCCGACGCCUUUUAAACGGACAGUCUCUAAAGAAUCUAUAAAAUUUACUCAAUCCGAUACUAAAGUAAAGGGGGCACUUGAUAAAUUAGAUACCAGUAAAUCGCCAGCGAAGCCUAAAGUAAGUACGAGUGCAGACAAAUUGGACAUACUUGGUGAUUUGGGUGGAUCAAAAAGAGAGCCAAGUAAACCGAUGGAGAAAGGCAAGAGUGCACAAUCUUUACUCGACGAUAUUUUAGGUGGAUCUUCAACCAAAACCGGGGGCUCCAGCCAGUCAACGAGACCAGUUACUGCAGCAAAAAGUCAGGAAUUUGAUUUCGAUUCUAUUUUGGGGAAAAGUGAAACUAAAACUUCUGUUUCAAGCAAAAGUUUGCCACAGAAACAAACUGUACGAGACAAUGUGAAAGAAGAAAAAGAGGCUCCUGCCAAAAAAACAAAGUCCACAGGAGACUGGCUCGGCAUCUUUCAAGAUAAAGACGACGAUGCCAACGAUUUGGAAGAUGACACCGGAAUGCCGUCUUGGUUGGUCGGAGGGGAGUCUAAAAAGAAAAAGUCUGAAGAGAAGAAAGUUGUUGGUAAACCUGAACCUGCCACCGAAAAAGCAAAGCCAAUUCCACAAAAAGAAGAACAAACUAAAGUUGAGGAAUCCAAAGAAGAAGUGAAAAAGGACGUGGACACUAUGGAGCAGAUGGUGAAACUAAAUCCUCCUUCUAACAUCCUUCACGGAAGCAAUGAAGAUAUAACGGCAGAGGGGGCCGCUCUGUAUAUGCAACAGCAGGAGUCUCAGAUAAUGGUGGCCUUGCAGCUAAAGGCACAGGAAGAAAAACUCGCUGCUUUGCAAAUGCGUCAGAAAGAGAGCCAGCGCGUUCAACGCGAGGCGGCGCAAGCGCAGCAUGCCCAACUGGACGCCAUGUUGCGGAAGCAAGCAGAGAACAGGCAGCAGAUGCAGUCCAUCAUAUCGGCGCAUCAGGAGAGGAUCACACAGAGAAUAAAGGCUCUAUUAGGUCCGGAAAACGUUACAAAUGAAGACGUGCCAAAUUACCAAGAAGAAUAUCAAACGGUUGGGGAUCACAAAGACGCGCCUCACACUCGGGAGAAGAAACAAUUGCUGCAGCUGGUACAGUCAUUGCAGGAGAACCAUGAUAAGGAAAUUGAUCUUAUGGAAACUUCGUACAGGAGACAGUUAGCAUUCCUAGAAGUAUCUCUAAAUCAAACCGAAGAAAGAAUGAAAGAGGAAAGUGAAAAACUGGUGAAGUUUUACUCGGAGAAGAUACAUUGGUUGGAGGAACACCACAAUUUGUACAAGAAGAUGACGGAAGAGAAUUUGGUGGCUCUGACUGAUCGACAUAAGACUGAAAAUGAAAUGCUGAUUCAACAGCAUUUGGAGAAUGUUAGAGUGCUGCAAGAACACCAUGCGGCACUGAUGGAGAAUAUCAAGAAAGCAGUCAAACAGGAACAAGUUCUCAUUCAGGAUUCAGCCAGUUUCUCGUCAGAUCUUAAAGAGUUGCUCAUAGAUGUGAAAGAAAACAAAAAUAAUUGUAAAGAAGUGUUAGAGAAAGUUCAGCUUUUGGUGGAGAGCACUGAACGUAGGAAUGAUGCAAGUGUGCAAGUGAGGGAAACUCAGAUUAAUGAUAUGAUACAACAACUGAAAAAGGAACGCGACAAUAUGGAUGUUGAAAAAGUUGAAAAUAGAGAAACUAUCAAAAUGCUUGAAGCAAGACUGAAGCAAAUGACUUCGAUGAUCGAGGAAGAAUCAGCAACAUUAAAACAAAAAAGAAUGGAAUUUGAAUUCGAGAAAGCAACGUUCAACAAGCAGACAGAAUUUGCUAAAAAUAUACUCAAGAAACAAGAUGAUGAAAUUAAGAUGCUGAGAGAAGAAAUCCAGAAGGAAUAUCACGAAAAAAUUACCAAAAUAGAUGAAGAAAAAGCAAAAGCUAUUAAGGAAAGCGCCUCACUUGCAAGAGAAAAAUCUAGCGUACAAAAUUUUAAACAGGAACUUGAAAAAAUGAAAGCAGAGCUCCAAGCUCAGUUAGAAGAAGUGUCUGAGGAAAAAUCCAAAUUGAAUGUGGAGAAACAACAGUUACAUAUGGAGGAACAACGGAUUAUAGCUAAAAGUCGCGACUUAGACCUCCUUGCAAAGACUGCAAUGGAAAAACAGACCCAUGCUGACAAAAAAUAUUCCGAAGCAGAAUUUAUCCAACGCAUGUACGAAGAGAGGAUCAGGAGGAUUCAAGAGCAUGUGGUUUCCCUGAACUCCAGAGAAAAGCACGUUGCCAAAGAGAAAGUAGCUUUAUCCAGAGAGAGGUUACACCUUCAUAACGAGAGGAAACAGAUAGAAAGUAGGCAGCAAUGUUCCUUGUGCAAGUCUUCGCAGAAUAUCCUGCCGUACUACGAAACAAAUUAUCCCUUACCUGAUUCUUUCAUGAAUGUGGCAGUCAGUAGAGAUUACAAGAGUUCCAAUGUGACGAAUGCCAUGAAUGCUAUUGAAGAAGAAAUGGCGCAUCUGAUGGGCAGGAACCUGAAUUUGAGACACAGUGCUGGGAUUGGGGAUCUGAGCCAUCACGCUGAUCGAUUUCAGAAUGAGGAGAGACAUCAGAAAUCGACUGAAUCUAUGCCGGAAUCGGGACCUUUUAAAGUGAGUUGGAAUUUUAGCUCUUAUUUUGAAUCGAUCAUCAGUUAUGGCUCUCGAUUUAAAAUUCGAAGCAAUCGAAACCUUUGUUGAUUAAUUUGGAAAGGACGUAGAUAUACUUUACUAUGGACUAUGGAUGUCCGUAUGUUCUUUUACGGAUUUACUCUUCAUGCAGAUAUGUAAUACAAUGUUUGUCCUAGCGUGGGUUCAAAAAAGAUUCGGUUGUUACAAAAAUUAUGACUGGAGGAGUAUUUGGAUCCAAAAUUCAUGAUGUUGCGUUUAGAUGUACAAAAAGUGUUGAGUAAUUUGGACCACAAUAAAAAAGAUGAUGCCGACUUGGUUGCCGAGGAAGAAACGGAAGAAGAUUGAGC
Helicoverpa armigera (cotton bollworm) is the source of this 3372-nucleotide RNA transcript. It is a transcript of the gene named paramyosin, with no coding region annotated. The transcript is spliced from 11 exons. NCBI's taxonomy places the organism in Eukaryota, Metazoa, Arthropoda, Insecta, Lepidoptera, Noctuidae. The record is from RefSeq and is a predicted model, not a curated record.